This 1163-nucleotide long non-coding RNA is filed under the name Arachis ipaensis. RNAcentral describes it as "long non-coding RNA (AIPA_LNC001635)". The record is from RNAcentral. Lineage: Eukaryota; Viridiplantae; Streptophyta; Magnoliopsida; Fabales; Fabaceae.
UUGAAAGUAAAUCCCCCUAUAGACUAUAGUGACGGUGCCAGAGUUAAAAAAAAAAAAAAAAAAAAAAACACUCUCUCUCAUCCUUCCCAAAAACAAAGACCUUUUUUGUCUGAGAGAAUCUCUGCACAGAAAACACCAAUCUCAACCUGAGAGAGACUCUUUUCCUCUCAUUCACACACUCAUUCACUCACCAAACCUCAGAUCAAGAUUCAUGGAGAUCCCAGAAAAGUUGGUGAAGUUGAGAUACCAUAUCCUUGCAACACUUAUUUUGUCAGCAACAAUCUUGAGCCUCAUAACGGUGGCACCAAGAUUCAUGAAUCUCUUGGCAUAUUUCUGGCCACUUCUACUCUCCACAGCUCUUGUUCUUGCCUUAGUCUUCUUUUUCGCCAAGACCUCUCCUUUACCGGCUACCGAUUCUUCCCUUGACAACUCCCUCCUUGAUUACGUUGCUGGCCCCCAAGAUCCACCUUUGGAUUCUGCUCACAACAAGUUCGAUUAGCCUAAGGUUAGAACAACUUAGAAUAAACCAAACCCACCAACAACAACAUUAGAUAAUAUUAAUAAUAAUAAGAUACAAAACUACUCAACUGCUCUUACUACUUUAUUCACUUCUAUCAUGUGUAUUAUUAUUAUUAUUUAUUAGUUAUUAACAACUUCUACUUACAAUUUGAUAGCUUUAUUACCUUGUACUAUUGUUGUUAUUAUUUUUAAUUUUUAUGCUUGAGUUGCAUGUUAGUGUUGUAAUUCAAUAAUUUUUGUUUUAUGAUUAUUAUUAUUAUUGAGUUUGAAGUUUGAGCUGAAAAUUAUUAUUGUUAGCUAGAUUUCAAUAAUUAUUGUUGCAUGUGAAUUGAUUGAAGCUUGGUUCAAUUAUUAAAAUGAGGGAUGUUUUGGCUGUUCGGGGUUGCCGCAGGUGCCGUUCAAAGUUGAUAGCGUUGGUGUGAUUGUGAUUUGUGAAAGAUGCAACCUUGAACCUACUAUGCUUUUUUUCUUUCGAUCUUUUUUUUUUUCUUUUUUUUUAGGUUGCGGGUUGGAUAAAUGCAAUGAUUUUGUGUGUACAUAAUUGAUAAUUCAAACCCUCUCUCUCUUUUUAUUUUUUUAACACAUAAUCUACAAUUAUUUCUCAUGAUUGAUGACGUUAUGCUUAGGUCAUGAACGAAUUUUCA